RNAcentral lists this ribosomal RNA (383 nucleotides) under Anelosimus baeza. RNAcentral's name for it is "partial 16S ribosomal RNA". The record is from RNAcentral. Lineage: Eukaryota; Metazoa; Arthropoda; Arachnida; Araneae; Theridiidae.
AUAUUCAAUAGCCGCAAAAUUUAUGUGCUAAGGUAGCAUAAUCAUUUGUUUUUUAAUUAAAAACUAGAAUGAAAGGUUAUACAUUCAAAUUUCUUUAUUAAUUUUUAAUAAAUAAUUUAUAUUAAAUAUAAAAAUAUAUUUAUAAAAAAAAAAGACGACAAGACCCUAUUAAAUUUUACUUAUAGUUUAGCUGGGGAAGCUUUCCAAUUAAAAUUUUUUAAAUUAAAUAAAUAAAAAUCUAAUAAAAUUAAAAUUUUAAUAAAUUACUAUAGGGAUAACAGCAUUAUAUUUUUUUAAAGUUCAUAUUAAAAAAAAUGAUUGUGACCUCGAUGUUGAAUUAAUAUUUUCUAUAUUAAUGCAAUAAUUAUAAAAGUAGAUCUGUU